RNAcentral lists this ribosomal RNA (1242 nucleotides) under metagenome. RNAcentral's name for it is "bacterial LSU rRNA". It matches the Rfam family "Bacterial large subunit ribosomal RNA", at positions 1564 to 2815 of the family's 2925-position model. The record is from RNAcentral.
UGAAUACGAGACGCUACGGCGUCGAAGCAGUCUAUGUCAUACUUCCAAGAAAAGCUCGCAAUGUCAUAAACAAAUAAUGCCUGUACCAUAACCGACACAGGUGGGUAGGUAGAGUAUACUAAGGGGCGCGAGAUAACUCUCUCUAAGGAACUCGGCAAAAUGACUCCGUAACUUCGGGAGAAGGAGUGCCUUAUUUAUAAGGUUGCAAUAACAAGAUCCAAGCAACUGUUUAUCAAAAACACAGGUCUCCGCUAAGUCGUAAGACGAUGUAUGGGGGCUGACGCCUGCCCAGUGCCAGAAGGUUAAAGAAGUUGGUUAGCAUUCGCGAAGCUGAUAACUGAAGCCCUGGUGAACGGCGGCCGUAACUAUAACGGUCCUAAGGUAGCGAAAUUCCUUGUCGGGUAAGUUCCGACCCGCACGAAAGGCGUAAUGAUUUGGAUACUGUCUCGGAGAGGGGCUCGGUGAAAUAGACUUGUCUGUGAAGAUGCGGACUACCUGCACCUGGACAGAAAGACCCUAUGAAGCUUUACUGUAACUUGAAAUUGAAAUUGGACUUUAUUUGCGCAGCAUAGGUGGGAGGCGUUGAGAGUAUUCUUGCGGGAAUAUUGGAGCCAUCAGUGAGAUACCACUCUUGUAAUGUUAGAUUUCUAACUUUGGAUCAUUAUCUGGUCAAAGAACAGUUUCAGGCGGGCAGUUUGACUGGGGCGGUCGCCUCCCAAAUGGUAACGGAGGCGUACAAAGGUUUCCUCUGAACGGGUAGAAAUCGUAUCUAGAGUGUAAAGGCAUAAGGAAGCUUGACUGUGAGACCUACAAGUCGAGCAGGGACGAAAGUCGGUCUUAGUGAUCUGACGGUGCUGAGUGGAAAGGCCGUCACUCAACGGAUAAAAGUUACUCUAAGGAUAACAGGCUGAUCUCCCCCAAGAGUUCACAUCGACGGGGAGGUUUGGCACCUCGAUGUCGGCUCAUCGCAUCCUGGGGCGGUAGUACGUCCCAAGGGUUGGGCUGUUCGCCCAUGAAAGCGGUACGCGAGCUGGGUUCAGAACGUCGUGAGACAGUUCGGUCCAUAUCCGGUGUAGGCGUUAGAAUAUUGAGAGGAGCCUUCUUUAGUACGAGAGGACCGAGAAGGUCAUACCUCUGGUGUACCAGUUAUCGUGCCAACGGUAAACGCUGGGUAGCUAUGUAUGGAGAGGAUAACCGCUGAAAGCAUCUAAGUGGGAAGCCCACCUCAAGAUAAGUAUUCCC